This 162-nucleotide non-coding RNA is filed under the name uncultured Mailhella sp. The record is from RNAcentral. Lineage: Bacteria; Pseudomonadati; Thermodesulfobacteriota; Desulfovibrionia; Desulfovibrionales; Desulfovibrionaceae.
UUGUGGCUUAAAAGGGAAUCCCGUGCAAACCGGGAGCGGACCCGCCGCCGUGAGCCCCUCGCGCUGCCCGUCCUGACGGGGAGCGGUCCUUUUCCAUGCCACUGGCUUCCGGGCCGGGAAGGCGAAAACGGACGGGCGCAGCCGGAAAACCUGCCUGCCGCA